GGCGAGUGAAGCGGUAACAGCUCAAAUUUGAAAUCUGGCCUCACGGUCCGAGUUGUAAUUUGUAGAGGAUGCUUCGAGCAUGGUCUGGCCUAAGUUCCUUGGAACAGGACGUCAUAGAGGGUGAGAAUCCCGUAUGCGGCCAGGUGCCUACGCUCAUGUGAAGCUCCUUCGACGAGUCGAGUUGUUUGGGAAUGCGGCUCAAAAUGGGUGGUAAAUUUCAUCUAAAGCUAAAUAUUGGCCAGAGACCGAUAGCGCACAAGUAGAGUGAUCGAAAGAUGAAAAGCACUUUGGAAAGAGAGUUAAACAGUACGUGAAAUUGUUGAAAGGGAAGCGCUUGCAACCAGACUUGCGCGCGGCCGAUCAUCCGGUGUUCUCACCGGUGCACUCGGCCGUGCUCAGGCCAGCAUCGGUUUUGGCGGCUGGAUAAAGGCCCUAGGAAUGUAGCUCCUCUCGGGGAGUGUUAUAGUCUAGAGUGCAAUGCAGCCUGCUGGGACCGAGGACCGCG
This 505-nucleotide ribosomal RNA is filed under the name uncultured Geomyces. RNAcentral's name for it is "eukaryotic LSU rRNA". It matches the Rfam family "Eukaryotic large subunit ribosomal RNA", at positions 88 to 599 of the family's 3401-position model. The record is from RNAcentral. Lineage: Eukaryota; Fungi; Ascomycota; Leotiomycetes; Myxotrichaceae.